UCUUAAAAUCACAAGGAAGGCUUGCAGCUACUUGUCAGUCUGAUUUCAAAGAGUUUUUCAAGAGCUAAUACCUUUCAGUCAUGAGCGGACAAGUUGUGUGUGCCUACAUUAUUUUUUGGCUUUGUGUGAACUUUGUCGGGUUCAUUCUUGUGCUGAGCUAUUUUUCUUCCAUUGCUAAAGAAGACUAAGAAGUUACAUUUGUUUUAGCAAGAAGCCGGUGGACAAAGCGCUUGUUACCUCCUCCCGACGAAAUGGAAAACUGCCCAGAAAAGAAUUCGGAUUUCCCAAGAGGGCUGGAAAAGGAUUUUAAUGAAUCAGAAGAUCAAAAACUAGCAAGACUGGACGAGAGGUCAGACUCUUCAGAAGAGUUGAAAGAGGAGUACGAGUUUCCAAGGGAACAUAAUUUGCGAGUGAGGAUGGCAGAGAAAGAGUAUUCAAAUGGAUUGGAUAUUGGGAAGAAUAGAAUCUCGAAAUCCUUUGGAGACAUCAAGAGUCGUCGACAGGAGAGAUACAUUUUCUAUUUUUCUUCAAUGACAUUUUAAUAAAGACUUGAAACCGAAAAUACGGUUUUAAAGGGUCGCGAAAUCGGUCCCCUCAA
Drosophila biarmipes is the source of this 598-nucleotide long non-coding RNA. RefSeq lists it as uncharacterized. The record is from RefSeq and is a predicted model, not a curated record. Lineage: Eukaryota; Metazoa; Arthropoda; Insecta; Diptera; Drosophilidae. The transcript has 2 exons.